GGCGAACGGGUGAGUAACACGUGAGUAACCUGCCCUUGACUUUGGGAUAACUUCAGGAAGCUGGGGCUAAUACCGGAUAGGAGCUCCUGCUGCAUGGUGGGGGUUGGAAAGUUUCGGCGGUUGGGGAUGGACUCGCAGCUUAUCAGCUUGUUGGUGGGGUAGUGGCUUACCAAGGCUUUGACGGGUAGCCGGCCUGAGAGGGUGACCGGCCACAUUGGGACUGAGAUACGGCCCAG
This 236-nucleotide ribosomal RNA is filed under the name uncultured Actinomycetales bacterium. RNAcentral's name for it is "partial 16S ribosomal RNA". It matches the Rfam family "Bacterial small subunit ribosomal RNA", at positions 97 to 334 of the family's 1533-position model. Lineage: Bacteria; Bacillati; Actinomycetota; Actinomycetes; Actinomycetales. The record is from RNAcentral.